CCUACGGGUGGCAGCAGUGAGGAAUAUUGGUCAAUGGGCGCGAGCCUGAACCAGCCAAGUAGCGUGAAGGAUGACUGCCCUACGGGUUGUAAACCUCUUUUAUAAGGGAAUAAAGUGAGGCACGUGUGACUUAUUGAGUGUACUUUAUGAAUAAGGAUCGGCUAACUCCGUGCCAGCAGCCGCGGUAAUACGGAGGAUCCGAGCGUUAUCCGGAUUUAUUGGGUUUAAAGGGAGCGUAGGUGGGUUGUUAAGUCAGUGGUGAAAGUUUGCGGCUCAACCGUAAAAUUGCAAUUGAUACUGGAAGCCUUGAGUACAGUAGAGGUAGGCGGAAUGCGUGGUGUAGCGGUGAAAUGCUUAGAUAUCACGAAGAACUCCGAUUGCGAAGGCAGCUUACUAACCCGCCACUGACAUUGAUGCUCGAAAGUGUGGGUAUCAAACAGGAUUAGAUACCCGAGUAGUC
This 460-nucleotide ribosomal RNA is filed under the name uncultured bacterium. RNAcentral describes it as "partial 16S ribosomal RNA". It matches the Rfam family "Bacterial small subunit ribosomal RNA", at positions 338 to 795 of the family's 1533-position model. The record is from RNAcentral.